UAUAUAUAUAUAUAUAUAUAUCGGGCACUAAACCAAAGACUCAAGGGCAACGGAACACCAUCUGGUUGUUAGGCCAUAUAUUGACUUAAACUAUAGAUAUUAAAUCCUUGUGUUGUAUUUUGCAGCUGCGGUUGAUUUAUAGAACCAACACCCAAAAGGGUUUGUUUCAGGAGAAGAAAGCCCUCACUUAAAUUCUCAUUUACAAGCAUCUAAAAAUGCGUUUUUUAAAUUUAAAAUAUAUUAUUUAUAUUAAUAAAACGCUUUAAAAGAGCUCUCCUGAAAUUAGAUCUAGUCUAUAAAGUGGUGCCUUUACCCAAAGUCCACCAGGGGGCAACAGAGGGUCGGGCACAGGGUCUUUUCUUCUUCCUCUUCUUUUCUCAGCAGUUCUGCCUCGUGGAAGGGGAGGCCGUGCCCACUCAUUGGUGAUUACGGUUCUGGUGAUGAGUCACGAGGAGAGGCUCUCCAGAUCUCCAAGACGUUAGCCCGUCGGAUCGAACCGCCACUUUCUUUUCUUCUUUACCACAACGUGACCGCUAGCCCGUCAAGUCAGCAGCCCGGGGACGAGCGAUGAGCGCGUGCAGGUGGACGGGCGCGCACGUGGCCAGCGCCAUAAUCACGACGUGGAUGAACAGGAUGUUUUCUCGAGGAUUUCGAUCCACUGUCGGGACAUAAGGAGAAUUUUGACACGUUUAACACAAAUAUUCGGGCUAAAGAUUCCCUGCAUUACCUUUAAGACAUGAUGGAGUCCUCACGGGCACAAAUGAAUGCUACCUGUCCGUUAGAAAUAAUUACGUACAUGGACGUCGAUGUCAAAAAACGGAAAGAGUGUGUGAGCAGCGCUGACAGCGGGGCAGCUGUCUCAAUAUGUUGUUUUAAAAUCAAGCACGUUAUUUCCACUUGAAAGCAUUUCACAUUCAAACAAAGAAAUCCACACAAGAAAUCAGCCAAAGCAAAGAAAAGACAUGAGAAGUCGUUUGAGAGCAUGCCGUGCUGAAAUUGUUGAAGCACCCAACAAUAUACAUUAUUUUUUUUAGUUCAAUUCCAAACACCAAAAUAAUGGAUGCAAGACGUUUGCCACAUAUUGAUCGACCGCUCGAGUCACUUCGACCAGCAGCUGAUUUGUUCUGUCGGAGCAAAAAGGGAAACACGCGGAGAGUUAAAAUAGCAAAAGCCUGGAACAAAGUCUCGCAGCGUUAAACUGCCAGAUGAGACCUUCUCUGGGGACUGCGUGGGUGAGUCAAGACCAACACAAUGGCCAGACCAUUUCUUUUCAACCAGCUUCUAUUUUAAAUUGUUGUUUUCGUGCAGGGUAGAUUGUGCGUUUCUAUUCAACGCACACAUGACGGCGGUCCGAUCCUCAGAGGCCCCAGAAGCGAAGCUCCUGUCUGUUGCUGCUCCUGUUGAUUAGUUUAACUGGUCGAAACGCUGUUCUUUGAGAGCACCGUCAAGCCGCUGUCAACGCGGCCUUUGUCUCAGUUUUUGUUUCUCCUUGUGGCUUCCAUUUCUGCAAAGUUAGUCAAUGAUUUUAUCCUGAAUGAAUCUAAAUAGCUAUGACACUUAAA
Long non-coding RNA from Gasterosteus aculeatus aculeatus (three-spined stickleback), 1562 nucleotides. The record is from Ensembl. Lineage: Eukaryota; Metazoa; Chordata; Actinopteri; Perciformes; Gasterosteidae.